This 514-nucleotide ribosomal RNA is filed under the name uncultured bacterium. RNAcentral's name for it is "bacterial SSU rRNA". It matches the Rfam family "Bacterial small subunit ribosomal RNA", at positions 15 to 518 of the family's 1533-position model. The record is from RNAcentral.
GAUCAUGGCUCAGAACGACGCUGGCGGCGCGUCUUAAGCAUGCAAGUCGAACGGCAAGAGGUAGCAAUACCUCCUAGAGUGGCGGACUGGUGAGUAACACGUGGGUGACAUACCCUUCAGAUGGGGAUAGCUAUUAGAAAUAGUAGAUAAUACCGAAUACGAGCACAGGGGUUAGAGAUCUGUGAGGAAAGGAGCUAAGGCUCCGCUGAAGGAAUGGCCUGCGGCCCAUUAGCUAGUUGGUGAGGUAAGAGCCCACCAAGGCGAUGAUGGGUAUCCGGCCUUAGAGGGUGAACGGACACAUUGGGACUGAGAUACGGCCCAGACUCCUACGGGAGGCAGCAGCUAAGAAUAUUCCGCAAUGGACGAAAGUCUGACGGAGCGACGCCGCCGUGGAUGAAGAAGGCCGGAAGGUUGUAAAAUCCUUUUGAAACUGAAGAAUAAGCGUUGUAGGGAAUGACAGCGUGGUGACAGUAGGUUUUGAAUAAGCAACGGCUAAUUACGUGCCAGCCGCCGC